GGUGCUUGUUAUUUCACCUAAAUCGAAAUAAC
This is a regulatory RNA element of 32 nucleotides. It matches the Rfam family "Pseudoknot of upstream pseudoknot domain (UPD) of the 3'UTR". The record is from Rfam.